UGGAUUAGCGGCGGACGGGUGAGUAACACGUGAGUAACCUGCCUUAGACAUUGGGAUAGCCUCUGGAAACCGGGAUUAAUACCAAAUAAAAUCAUAAUGACACAUGUCAUAACGAUCAAAACUCCGGUGGUCUAAGAUGGACUCGCGUCCCAUUAGCUAGUUGGUAUAGUAAAAGCCUACCAAGGCGACGAUGGGUAGCCGGCCUGAUAGGGUGAACGGCCACAUUGGAACUGAGAAACGGUCCAA
This 246-nucleotide ribosomal RNA is filed under the name uncultured Eubacteriales bacterium. Its description in RNAcentral is "uncultured Clostridiales bacterium partial 16S ribosomal RNA". It matches the Rfam family "Bacterial small subunit ribosomal RNA", at positions 88 to 334 of the family's 1533-position model. Lineage: Bacteria; Bacillati; Bacillota; Clostridia; Eubacteriales. The record is from RNAcentral.